CGGAUAAAAUGACGGAUGAGGAGUUUACCGUCAUAGACAAAAGGACAAAAGCAAGUAUCAUUUUAAAUCUCUCAAAUGAGGUUUUACGUGAAGUUUCUGUAGAAAUCACAACCAAAGGUAUGCGGGAAAAAUUGAAAACCUAAUAUAUGAAGAGGACGGUGGAAAAUAGACUUUACCUGAAGCAAAAGCUUUAUACAAUUCGUAUGGGUGAAGGUACAAUUCGAGUCAGAAUGCACGAUGAUGUGGUGAGAACUCUCACCGAUGUUAGAUAUGUUCCUGAGUUGAAGAAAAAUCUCAUAUCUUUGGGCACUUUAGAAUCCCUUGGGUGCAAAUUCACUAGUGAAGGUGGAGUUUUAAAA
RNAcentral lists this long non-coding RNA (359 nucleotides) under Nicotiana tabacum (common tobacco). Its description in RNAcentral is "long non-coding RNA (NTAB_LNC009217)". Lineage: Eukaryota; Viridiplantae; Streptophyta; Magnoliopsida; Solanales; Solanaceae. The record is from RNAcentral.